Molecule: ribosomal RNA, 498 nt
Filed under: uncultured bacterium
Lineage: Bacteria
Description: partial 16S ribosomal RNA
Rfam family: Bacterial small subunit ribosomal RNA
Source: RNAcentral
AUUGAACGCUGGCGGCAUGCUUUACACAUGCAAGUCGAACGGUAACAGGCCUUCGGGCGCUGACGAGUGGCGAACGGGUGAGUAAUGCAUCGGAACGUGCCCAGUCGUGGGGGAUAACGCAGCGAAAGCUGUGCUAAUACCGCAUACGAUCUGCGGAUGAAAGCGGGGGACCUUCGGGCCUCGCGCGAUUGGAGCGGCCGAUGUCAGAUUAGGUAGUUGGUGGGGUAAAGGCCCACCAAGCCGACGAUCUGUAGCUGGUCUGAGAGGACGACCAGCCACACUGGGACUGAGACACGGCCCAGACUCCUACGGGAGGCAGCAGUGGGGAAUUUUGGACAAUGGGCGCAAGCCUGAUCCAGCAAUGCCGCGUGCAGGAAGAAGGCCUUCGGGUUGUAAACUGCUUUUGUACGGAGCGAAAAGGCUCCCUCUAAUAAAGAGGGUCCAUGACGGUACCGUAAAAAUAAGCACCGGCUAACUACGUGCCAGCCGCCGCAGUAA